This 253-nucleotide ribosomal RNA is filed under the name uncultured bacterium. Its description in RNAcentral is "partial 16S ribosomal RNA". It matches the Rfam family "Bacterial small subunit ribosomal RNA", at positions 524 to 776 of the family's 1533-position model. The record is from RNAcentral.
UACGGGGGGGGCAAGCGUUGUUCGGAAUUACUGGGCGUAAAGGGCUCGUAGGCGGCCUACUAAGUCAGGCGUGAAAUCCCUCGGCUUAACCGGGGAACUGCAUCUGAAACUGGAUGGCUUGAGUUCGGGAGAGGGAUGCGGAAUUCCAGGUGUAGCGGUGAAAUGCGUAGAUAUCUGGAGGAACACCGGUGGCGAAGGCGGCAUCCUGGACCGGCAUUGACGCUGAGGCACGAAAGCUAGGGGAGCAAACGGG